Molecule: ribosomal RNA, 508 nt
Filed under: uncultured prokaryote
Description: bacterial SSU rRNA
Rfam family: Archaeal small subunit ribosomal RNA
Source: RNAcentral
UUGAAUAGGCGGGAGAGACUAUCUCAGUGCGUCCCGAAGAAGGAUGCUUUUCCACUGUAUAACUAGCCGUGAGAAUAAAGGGAGGGCAAGACUGGUGUCAGCCGCCGCGGUAAUACCAGCCCCCUGAGUGGUGUGGAUGUUUAUUGGGCCUAAAGCGUCCGUAGCUGGCUGUGUCCGUCCCCCGUCAAAUCCACCGUCUCAAGCGUUGGAUCGCGGGUGAUACCGUCCAGCUAGAGGAUGAGACAGGUGGACGGUAUUUCUGGGGUAGGGGUGAAAUCCUUUGAUCCCAGGAGGACCACCAGUGGCGAAGGCUGUUCACUAGAACACGCCUGACGGUCAGGGAUGAAAGCUGGGGUAGCGAACCGGAUUAGAUACCCGGGUAGUCCCAGCUGUAAACGAUGCUCGCUAGGUGUUGGGUCGGCCAUGUGCCGCCCCAGUGCCGCAGGGAAGCCGUUAAGCCAGCCGCCUGGGGAGUACGGCCGCAAGGCUGAAACUUAAAGGAAUGGCG